This 209-nucleotide unclassified non-coding RNA is filed under the name uncultured Glomeromycotina. RNAcentral describes it as "sequence contains ITS2". The record is from RNAcentral. Lineage: Eukaryota; Fungi; Glomeromycota.
UAAUAACAAUCGGGAGUGUUGCUCUAUUUGGUAUCACUUUUGGAAUUGAGUUAUCUUUAACCCCAUGGUUUUAAGUGACUUAAAAUUAAAGUCUUAUACGUAUUUUAGGCGUAAUUAGAAUAUUCUAUACGUCUCGAAUACUAAAAUUCUUUUAUUAGGCAUGACCAUCGCCAUUAUAAUAUGGUAAUCGUGCCUAUAAUUCUUUUUGA